UGGGGAAUUGUUCGCAAUGGGCGCAAGCCUGACGACGCAACGCCGCGUGGAGGAUGAAGGUCUUCGGAUUGUAAACUCCUGUUGCCCGGGACGAAUGGCUCCAACCUAAUACGUUGGAGUGUGACGGUACCGGGUGAGGAAGCCCCGGCUAACUCUGUGCCAGCAGCCGCGGUAAUACAGAGGGGGCAAGCGUUGUUCGGAAUUACUGGGCGUAAAGGGCGCGUAGGCGGCCUGUUAAGUCGAACGUGAAAUCCCCGGGCUCAACCCGGGAACUGCGUCCGAUACUGGCAGGCUUGAAUCCGGGAGAGGGAUGCGGAAUUCCAGGUGUAGCGGUGAAAUGCGUAGAUAUCUGGAGGAACACCGGUGGCGAAGGCGGCAUCCUGGACCGGCAUUGACGCUGAGGCGCGAAAGCCAGGGGAGCAAACGGG
Molecule: ribosomal RNA, 428 nt
Filed under: uncultured bacterium
Lineage: Bacteria
Description: bacterial SSU rRNA
Rfam family: Bacterial small subunit ribosomal RNA
Source: RNAcentral